This 1340-nucleotide long non-coding RNA is filed under the name Phascolarctos cinereus (koala). Its description in RNAcentral is "lncRNA (ENSPCIG00000033968.1)". Lineage: Eukaryota; Metazoa; Chordata; Mammalia; Diprotodontia; Phascolarctidae. The record is from RNAcentral.
AGCGGGGCGAGCCGCUUCCGGUUCCGGCGCUCAGGAGAAAGCAGCGCGGGUGGGAACACGGCCCGUGCCUCGUGGUUCCCGGGGUCGCUUCCGGGAACGUUUUGGGCUCCAGGGUUCUUCUGGUUGCUGUUCCCGAGGGCGGAACUUGAAUGAGGGGCGGAGUCAGGGCAAUCCGGAAAAGAUUCAGUGGGCUUGUGACCCGGCUCAGCACCCAGGAUUCAGGAUCACAACUCUGCCUUCAAGGAGCUUACAUUCUAACAGUCUGGGAGAAAUGGAACCACCCCAAUCCUCAGACCAGUGUGAACGAAGCACCUUCCCCAUUUUCCGACUAGUCUAUGCGCAUGCGCGACUCCGAACCACAAGUCCCGAAAGGCAGCGCGGCGCGCUCAGCGGGGCAGCGUUUAGAGAACGCCGCGGAAGCAGGCACUGGAGGCGGAAGACAGUAUGCGGAGAGCGCAUGUGCAGUGGUGCAAACGCAUGCGCAGAGUUGGCGCCGAUAGGCUUUCUCGUUCUGUCUGCUCCUCCCCCAGCCCUCACCCCGCGCACAAACGCGCGAGCCCCGGCCCUCACGCAGCGCGAGGAGGCGGUGGUGGCGGCUGCAGGGGGCGGAGUCAUCCGGAGCGAGGCGGGCGCAGGAAGAGCUGCCGCGGCGUUCUCUGUCCCUGCGCGGACACGGACACAGAUACGGACACGGACUCGGAGCCUGGCCCGGAGGAACAGAGAGGACUCAGGACGCUCCAGCCGUCGCGCGCCGCCAGACCAGUUGAGUCCUGUGGCUUCUUCAGAGAUUGGUUGAUGAUGGAAAUGCACUGGAUACAAGAAGCAGACUCUACUUUGUUGCAGUAGGAGCAUUCUUAGCCUUUCUCCUGAUCGUGCCCCCAGUGUUGGGCAGGAGGAGUGACAAAGAUCUCUAAUUGAAGAGAAGAAAAUAUCAUUUGGGAAACUUUUUCUCCCCCAUAUUUCUGCAUUUUAAUUUUGUUUUCGCUUUAUAAAUGGUCAACAUUGAAGAAGUAGGCAACACCUCUAGAAGCAUUCCACUCCCAGUCUAGCAUUCAACACAAGUGUAUCGUACAGAAUCUUCACAAAGCUGAGCAAGUUUCUGCUGGAUUGUUUCUACCCCAAGGCAGUCCAAGACCUUAAGGCUACAGUAGAGACACACACACACACACACACACACACACACACUUCACACUUUUUUAGCAGCUGUAUGAUUGGGGAUAAUGAAAUUAAUAUUUUAAAUGCCCUCUCAUGUAGAUGUUUCUCAAUUGAGUUGACUCUCCAAGUUCACAUUUUUCUAUUACUUUAAUAAAAUUAUAUUUUUCCUCUGUUAUCUGCCCUUU